This 253-nucleotide ribosomal RNA is filed under the name uncultured bacterium. RNAcentral describes it as "partial 16S ribosomal RNA". It matches the Rfam family "Bacterial small subunit ribosomal RNA", at positions 524 to 776 of the family's 1533-position model. The record is from RNAcentral.
UACGUAGGGUGCGAGCGUUGUCCGGAAUUAUUGGGCGUAAAGGGCUCGUAGGCGGUCUGUCGCGUCGGUAGUGAAAACUCAGGGCUUAACCCUGAGCCUGCUUCCGAUACGGGCAGACUAGAGGUAUGCAGGGGAGAACGGAAUUCCUGGUGUAGCGGUGGAAUGCGCAGAUAUCAGGAGGAACACCGGUGGCGAAGGCGGUUCUCUGGGCAUUACCUGACGCUGAGGAGCGAAAGUGUGGGGAGCGAACAGG